This 363-nucleotide long non-coding RNA is filed under the name Daucus carota (carrot). RNAcentral describes it as "long non-coding RNA (DCAR_LNC006653)". The record is from RNAcentral. Lineage: Eukaryota; Viridiplantae; Streptophyta; Magnoliopsida; Apiales; Apiaceae.
AGCGAGCAAGGAAGGAGAAAAGAGAAAGGAGGUUCCAAAAGCAUUCGGGGCUGCCCAAAUGGGGUCUCCACCCCAUUUACGGGGUCUCCACCCCGUUCUGAAGAAGAAAAAUCUGCCAAGAUGGGGUCUCCACCCCACUGAUGGGGUCUCCACCCCACUUCAGCAGAAUAGAGGCUGCCAAGACAGGGUCUCCACCCCACUGACGGGGUCUCCACCCCACUGACGGGGUCUCCACCCCAUUGAUGGGGUCUCCACCCCAUUCUGAUGGGAGAAAAAGCCCAAAUUGCCUAUUCUUGAUCCGUUUGAAGGCCCGAUCGCUGUGGGACUUAAAUCAAAGCUCAAGGGAGAAGUCUAAUAACCUAG